This 428-nucleotide ribosomal RNA is filed under the name uncultured bacterium. Its description in RNAcentral is "bacterial SSU rRNA". It matches the Rfam family "Bacterial small subunit ribosomal RNA", at positions 355 to 775 of the family's 1533-position model. The record is from RNAcentral.
UGGGGAAUUUUGGACAAUGGGCGCAAGCCUGAUCCAGCAAUGCCGCGUGAGUGAAGAAGGCCUUCGGGUUGUAAAGCUCUUUUGUCAGGGAAGAAACGACAUCCUCUAAUACAGGGUGUUAAUGACGGUACCUGAAGAAUAAGCACCGGCUAACUACGUGCCAGCAGCCGCGGUAAUACGUAGGGUGCAAGCGUUAAUCGGAAUUACUGGGCGUAAAGCGUGCGCAGGCGGUUUUGUAAGACUGACGUGAAAUCCCCGGGCUCAACCUGGGAAUGGCGUUGGUGACUGCAAGGCUAGAGUUUGGCAGAGGGGGGUAGAAUUCCACGUGUAGCAGUGAAAUGCGUAGAUAUGUGGAGGAACACCGAUGGCGAAGGCAGCCCCCUGGGUCAAAACUGACGCUCAUGCACGAAAGCGUGGGGAGCAAACAG